This is a long non-coding RNA of Lycium ferocissimum, 211 nucleotides long. RefSeq lists it as uncharacterized. Lineage: Eukaryota; Viridiplantae; Streptophyta; Magnoliopsida; Solanales; Solanaceae. The record is from RefSeq and is a predicted model, not a curated record. The transcript has 2 exons.
UUCUGAAAUAACUCCGAAUAGCCAUGUGACUCAAUAAAUUGCCCUACUGUUUCAUUGCGAUCAACUUCAGGACUGUUAUAAAUAAGUAAUUGGUACCUUAUGGCAUCCUGUUUGAAUCUGAUAAUUUCUCUAAUCAUUUGCCAAAAAUAUGGAUUCAAUACAUUCUUCUUUUGUGCAAACAAACUAGAGAAUCCAUUACGGGUACCCCAUU